UAUGGCGGAUAUGAUCAUGCUCCGACUCAUUUAAACGCCGGCUGACCUGAAACAUAUGGAAUACAAUGAAGUUAUAGUAUAAAAAAAAACAUUUAAACAGUGAAAUACCUUAACUCUUGUAGCUUUGUCUUUAACGGUGGCCAUUUUGCUUCCCUGUGCCAUGCGUUUUAAACUCUUGGUGUUACCGUACCCAACUGUAACUGCGAUGAAAAGAUAAAAGAUUGGAUGAUGGACAUCUAAAUGCCUUGAAACAGAUAGCUUAUCUUGUUUCGAAGCCCUGCGAAAUGACCACAAUCGUUGACUAGCUUUUCCUUUCUUAUUUGACACACAGUGAAGAUGUCUGGAACAAAGAAUAGGGCGGAGAUUCCUGUUCAAACAAAGCCACGUAGUGCAACACGUCUUCUCUGAUCAGCUGUUUGUAAUAACAGUUGCACAUUUCCGGCGUUGUAACCUCUGGUAAUUAAUACGUUAGAAGACGAUAUCACUCGAGAUGAAAUAAACACCUCUUUUGUACGGGAUAUCACGAGUUUAACGAAACACGUAAGGAAAUGGAACUGAAGAUAUAUCGCAUUUCUGAAUUGGAAAAU
Molecule: long non-coding RNA, 587 nt
Organism: Daphnia carinata
Lineage: Eukaryota; Metazoa; Arthropoda; Branchiopoda; Diplostraca; Daphniidae
Exons: 3
Source: RefSeq, a predicted model, not a curated record